AUGGGUUUCUCCGAGGUGGUACAAUGGUGGGACGAGUGGCAGCUCCGUGUGCUCGUCCUGGGCAGUCUCUUCCUCCAGUACUUCCUCUUCGUCGCAGCCGGUAUGCGCAAGCGUUGCAUCCCCUCCUGGUUCAGGUUCUUCAUCUGGCUCGCCUACCUGGGCAGCGACGCAUUGGCCAUAUACGCCCUUGCCACCCUCUUCAACAGCCACAGGAAGCAGGAGCGGACGUCCACGCGCCGUGGCAGCUCCAGCCUGGAGGCGUUGUGGGCGCCGGUGCUGCUGGUGCACCUCGGUGGCCAGGACGGCAUCACUGCCUACAACAUGAGGACAACGAGCUGUGGAGGCGGCACGUCCUCACCGCGGUGUCUCAGGUUCUUCCCAAUCAAUGAUCCACUACAUUUUGAAUUGAUUCUCUUUAUAAACAUUUGGUUUGCCGGUUGGAACUAUUUCUGCUUUCAAAAUGUUGUGCAGUUUUGUUGUAUUUACAGUUUAAACCUGAUCUUUUCUCCAAAUUUGUUGAGACCUACCUUUUUCGAAUGCCAACUAUACUUUGCCAGUUGGUCGAGUUGA
This 570-nucleotide ribosomal RNA is filed under the name Triticum aestivum (bread wheat). RNAcentral's name for it is "partial small subunit ribosomal RNA". Lineage: Eukaryota; Viridiplantae; Streptophyta; Magnoliopsida; Poales; Poaceae. The record is from RNAcentral.